UUGGAAACGACUGCUAAUACCGCAUAAUGUCUACGGACCAAAGGGGGCUUCGGCUCUCGCCUUUAGAUUGGCCCAAGUGGGAUUAGCUAGUUGGUGAGGUAAUGGCUCACCAAGGCGACGAUCCCUAGCUGGUUUGAGAGGAUGAUCAGCCACACUGGGACUGAGACACGGCCCAGACUCCUACGGGAGGCAGCAGUGGGGAAUAUUGCACAAUGGGCGCAAGCCUGAUGCAGCCAUGCCGCGUGUGUGAAGAAGGCCUUCGGGUUGUAAAGCACUUUCAGUCAGGAGGAAAGGUUAAUAGUUAAUACCUGCUAGCUGUGACGUUACUGACAGAAGAAGCACCGGCUAACUCCGUGCCAGCAGCCGCGGUAAUACGGAGGGUGCGAGCGUUAAUCGGAAUUACUGGGCGUAAAGCGUACGCAGGCGGUUUGUUAAGCGAGAUGUGAAAGCCCCGGGCUCAACCUGGGAACUGCAUUUCGAACUGGCAAACUAGAGUGUGAUAGAGGGUGGUAGAAUUUCAGGUGUAGCGGUGAAAUGCGUAGAGAUCUGAAGGAAUACCGAUGGCGAAGGCAGCCACCUGGGUCAACACUGACGCUCAUGUACGAAAGCGUGGGGAGCAAACGGGAUUAGAUACCCCGGUAGUCCACGCCGUAAACGAUGUCUACUAGAAGCUCGGAGCCUCGGUUCUGUUUUUCAAAGCUAACGCAUUAAGUAGACCGCCUGGGGAGUACGGCCGCAAGGUUAAAACUCAAAUGAAUUGACGGGGGCCCGCACAAGCGGUGGAGCAUGUGGUUUAAUUCGAUGCAACGCGAAGAACCUUACCUACACUUGACAUACAGAGAAACUUACCAGAGAUGGUUUGGUGCCUUCGGGAAACUCUGAUACAGUGCUGCAUGGCUGUCGUCAGCUCGUGUUGGUGAGAUGUUGGUUUAAGUCCCGCAACGAGCGCAACCCCUAAUCCUUAGC
RNAcentral lists this ribosomal RNA (966 nucleotides) under Pseudoalteromonas sp. QM47. RNAcentral describes it as "bacterial SSU rRNA". It matches the Rfam family "Bacterial small subunit ribosomal RNA", at positions 150 to 1116 of the family's 1533-position model. Lineage: Bacteria; Pseudomonadati; Pseudomonadota; Gammaproteobacteria; Alteromonadales; Pseudoalteromonadaceae. The record is from RNAcentral.